Molecule: transfer-messenger RNA, 253 nt
Filed under: Chloroflexota bacterium
Lineage: Bacteria; Bacillati; Chloroflexota
Description: Chloroflexi bacterium transfer-messenger RNA
Rfam family: transfer-messenger RNA
About the family: Bacterial tmRNA, also known as 10Sa RNA or SsrA, is named for its dual tRNA and mRNA-like properties. Its role is to liberate the mRNA from a stalled ribosome. To accomplish this part of the tmRNA is used as a reading frame that ends in a translation stop signal.
Source: RNAcentral
GGGGACGAUAGGAGUCGACAGGAGUCUACGGACACGGAUUGCGGGCCGAGGCGCCACCACCCUCGUUAAACAGGUGGCAACCGUANNNNNNNNNNGCGCGCCACAGGUCUCGCGGCCAAGAUUACUGGGGCUGGCCGGCCCACCCCUCGUCGGUGAAGGCAGGCCGGUGAGACCCACUCACCGACUACGCCCGUAGCAGAUCCGUGACGGACGCUCGCUGGACGGGGAGUUCGAUUCUCCCCCGUCUCCACCA